Molecule: non-coding RNA, 172 nt
Organism: Streptomyces sp. CB02400
Lineage: Bacteria; Bacillati; Actinomycetota; Actinomycetes; Kitasatosporales; Streptomycetaceae
Source: Rfam
GCGCGGCCUCCGCCGAGUCCGUCACUGCCCUCGCGGCAGCCGGAGCCGGGGACCCACCGAGACCAUGGGGUGAAUCGGCCCACUCCCUCACGGAGCGGCCGUAGGGCAACCCUUCCGAACCACCCGCCCGAACCCGACAGCUAACCCGGUAGGCGGAGCUUUGGAAGGAGUC